RNAcentral lists this ribosomal RNA (389 nucleotides) under uncultured bacterium. RNAcentral describes it as "bacterial SSU rRNA". It matches the Rfam family "Bacterial small subunit ribosomal RNA", at positions 28 to 419 of the family's 1533-position model. The record is from RNAcentral.
GACGAACGCUGGCGGCGUGCUUAACACAUGCAAGUCGAGCGGUAAGGCCCUUUCGGGGGUACACGAGCGGCGAACGGGUGAGUAACACGUGGGUGACUUGCCCUCAGCUCUGGGAUAAGCCUGGGAAACUGGGUCUAAUACUGGAUAUGACUCCACGGUGCAUGUCGUGGGGUGGAAAGCCUUGUGCGGCUGAGGAUGGGCCCGCGGCCUAUCAGCUUGUUGGUGGGGUGAGGCCUACCAAGGCGACGACGGGUAGCCGGCCUGAGAGGGCGACCGGCCACACUGGGACUGAGACACGGCCCAGACUCCUACGGGAGGCAGCAGUGGGGAAUCUUGCGCAAUGGGCGAAAGCCUGACGCAGCGACGCCGCGUGAGGGAUGACGGCCUGG